CAGCUACGCCUGCCGGGUGCAGCACAGCAGCCUGGGGGGCCGGAGCCUGCUGAUCCCCUGGGAGCAGAGCAGGCCCUGGGGCCCCGGCCUGGCCGUGGGCAUCACCCUGGGGGUUGUGGCCGUAGCCGCCGUGGCCGUGGUGCUGUGGCGGAGCAGACGCAGGGGCUACCAGGACGUUAGACCGAGGGAGUCCAGUCCCUGAGGGGGCGGCACCGGCCCCAGCGUGGGGAUCGGCCCCUCUCCUGGGGACAUAGACCUUGCAGCUGGAUCCCUGCCCAGCUCCAGAGCUCAGGGUCCCCCAAGGGCAGGACUGGAUCGGGGCGCUGGGAGAUGGGGGCCCGGGGUGGGGGGUGGGAUUCUCCCCCCUCUGGGAUGUUCAGGGGGCAUUGGACACUUGGGAGCGCUGUGGGAUCGCUGGGAUCCAGGUCUCUUGUAAGGUAUCGUCACAAAGCUUCUAAUCUGCUGUGUGUGGGCGUCGCAUUGGUGUGAAUGUGUCAGUCUUGUAUCUGUAACUAGGAAUAUGGACUAGAACUCCGGGGUCCUAUUGGAGUUAUGCAAAGUGGGGGCCGUUAAUGGGGGCUUGGAAUCUUGCUGGCUCCCAUCAACCGGGACAAUUGGUGGCAAACGGCUCCGUUUACUCCAAGCCUUCCUGUGUCCCCGUGUGCAGCCAGUCGGGCAUGAAGUGUCACCGGACAUGGGACCAUGUCACCUGGUACUGGAAGCCAUCUUCAACCUGGGGCAUUUCCAUUUAGGAGGGGUGGGGCCCAGAGACAAAGGAUUCCCGCCUUGGGCCGAAGCUAUAAUAGGGGGUGGAGCAGGACAAAGGGGGGCCAGUCAUGAGAACGCCCCUGCUUUGCCCCUGAUAGUCUGGUCUGUGAGAGAAGCUUCUUGGAACCUCUCUGCGGGAGAGAUUUACCCAUGUUCAGUUUCCUACUGUGUUAGGCUCAGACUUUUGUUUGAUUUUGCUUGGUGACUUACUUUGUUCUGUCUGUUAUUACUUGGAACCACUUAAAUCCCACUUGUUAUACUUCAUAAAAUCACUUUUGCUUAUUAA
This is a non-coding RNA of Chrysemys picta bellii (western painted turtle), 1054 nucleotides long. NCBI's taxonomy places the organism in Eukaryota, Metazoa, Chordata, Testudines, Emydidae. The record is from RefSeq and is a predicted model, not a curated record.